CGCGUAGGCGGUUUGGUAAGUUAGGCGUGAAAGGCCCGGGCUCAACCCGGGAACUGCGCUUAAGACUGCCGGGCUGUGAGUCCGGGAGAGGAUGGCGGAAUUCCCAGUGUAGAGGUGAAAUUCGUAGAUAUUGGGAAGAACACCAGUGGCGAAGGCGGCCAUCUGGCCCGGUACUGACGCUGAGGCGCGAAAGCGUGGGGAGCAAACA
This 208-nucleotide ribosomal RNA is filed under the name uncultured Pseudomonadota bacterium. Its description in RNAcentral is "uncultured proteobacterium partial 16S ribosomal RNA". It matches the Rfam family "Bacterial small subunit ribosomal RNA", at positions 568 to 774 of the family's 1533-position model. Lineage: Bacteria; Pseudomonadati; Pseudomonadota. The record is from RNAcentral.